RNAcentral lists this ribosomal RNA (514 nucleotides) under bacterium enrichment culture clone ALO1_GLFRUDD03G5VXF. RNAcentral's name for it is "bacterial SSU rRNA". It matches the Rfam family "Bacterial small subunit ribosomal RNA", at positions 9 to 517 of the family's 1533-position model. The record is from RNAcentral.
GAGUUUGAUCGUGGCUCAGAUUGAACGCUGGCGGCAGGCCUAACACAUGCAAGUCGAGCGGAUGACGGGAGCUUGCUCCUUGAUUCAGCGGCGGACGGGUGAGUAAUGCCUAGGAAUCUGCCUGGUAGUGGGGGACAACGUUUCGAAAGGAACGCUAAUACCGCAUACGUCCUACGGGAGAAAGCAGGGGACCUUCGGGCCUUGCGCUAUCAGAUGAGCCUAGGUCGGAUUAGCUAGUUGGUGGGGUAAUGGCUCACCAAGGCGACGAUCCGUAACUGGUCUGAGAGGAUGAUCAGUCACACUGGAACUGAGACACGGUCCAGACUCCUACGGGAGGCAGCAGUGGGGAAUAUUGGGCAAUGGGCGAAAGCCUGAUCCAGCCAUGCCGCGUGUGUGAAGAAGGUCUUCGGGAUUGUAAAGCACUUUAAGUUGGGAGGGAGGGCAGUAAGUUAAUACCUUGCUGUUUUGACGUUACCGACAGAAUAAGCACCGGCUAACUCUGUGCCAGCAGCCG